UUGUAUAACUGAAGGUUUUUAUUGUCACAUUUAAACUCCAUAAGUUAAAUAGGAUAUACAAUGGAUGUUCCUUCACACCUGCACCUAAUUUCCUAAUGCUACACCUGCUGAUGUCUCUCUUUCCAAACCAAGUUUCCGAAAAUUGUUUUGAUGCUCCUUGUUUUCUUUUCUGUGUGCGCGCUGGUAAAGGCAAGUAAAAUUCAAGCACUUUUCAAACAUUUUCAAGGUCGUAUUUAUAGCUCCGAAACGCACCGGGGCAGAGAGAGGAGGGGGAGAGUGUGACAAGUUGCCUAAUGCUGACGCUCAUUACCUUCGGCUCCUGCUGGUGGUGGCAGACGAAGAGCCAGAGUCCCAACAGCCGUCAUCACUGGAGGUUUUCUCAGACAAAAGCUCAAGGAAGAAAAGCCUUGCAGUUUUGCUCUCACCUGUGCCGACUCUUCCUCCAGCCGUCUCUUCUCAUCUUCAGACUCAAUCAGCUUC
Molecule: long non-coding RNA, 480 nt
Organism: Poeciliopsis prolifica (blackstripe livebearer)
Lineage: Eukaryota; Metazoa; Chordata; Actinopteri; Cyprinodontiformes; Poeciliidae
Exons: 3
Source: RefSeq, a predicted model, not a curated record